CCUACGUGCGGCAGCAGUAGGGAAUCUUCGGCAAUGGACGGAAGUCUGACCGAGCAACGCCGCGUGAGUGAAGAAGGUUUUCGGAUCGUAAAGCUCUGUUGUAAGAGAAGAACGAGUGUGAGAGUGGAAAGUUCACACUGUGACGGUAACUUACCAGAAAGGGACGGCUAACUACGUGCCAGCAGCCGCGGUAAUACGUAGGUCCCGAGCGUUAUCCGGAUUUAUUGGGCGUAAAGCGAGCGCAGGCGGUUAGAUAAGUCUGAAGUUAAAGGCUGUGGCUUAACCAUAGUACGCUUUGGAAACUGUUUAACUUGAGUGCAGAAGGGGAGAGUGGAAUUCCAUGUGUAGCGGUGAAAUGCGUAGAUAUAUGGAGGAACACCGGUGGCGAAAGCGGCUCUCUGGUCUGUAACUGACGCUGAGGCUCGAAAGCGUGGGGAGCAAACAGGAUUAGAUACCCCAGUAGUC
This 465-nucleotide ribosomal RNA is filed under the name uncultured Streptococcus sp. Its description in RNAcentral is "bacterial SSU rRNA". It matches the Rfam family "Bacterial small subunit ribosomal RNA", at positions 338 to 795 of the family's 1533-position model. Lineage: Bacteria; Bacillati; Bacillota; Bacilli; Lactobacillales; Streptococcaceae. The record is from RNAcentral.